GGUUUCAUUACCGUCCUCCAUUUUCCACGGCUAUUGCUCCUUCCCUCUCGCUCGUCCCCUCCCCUCUUCCCACCCCCACCACCUCCGCCAACCAGAGCCCACUCACCUCCCCCCUUCCGCUCGCCGCCCUCCCCGCCGGAUUCCGCGGCUCGCGGCGAGAGUCCCGAGCCUCGGGUCGCCGGCAACCGUGCCGGAUCCGGCGGGCACUCGGCGCGGCAGCGAGCUCCCGCGGCGUCUCGCGCAGAUCCGACGCGCGCGCCUACGCUCGUCGGGAGANNNNN
RNAcentral lists this long non-coding RNA (281 nucleotides) under Hordeum vulgare. Its description in RNAcentral is "long non-coding RNA (HVUL_LNC015262)". Lineage: Eukaryota; Viridiplantae; Streptophyta; Magnoliopsida; Poales; Poaceae. The record is from RNAcentral.